AACGAACGUUAGCGGCGCGCUUAACACAUGCAAGUCGAGCGAGAAAGGGGCAACCCCGGUAAAGCGGCGCACGGGUGAGUAACACGUAGGUAAUCUACCCUCGGGUGGAGGAUAACUUUCCGAAAGGAGAGCUAAUACUGCAUGAGACCACGCCUUCGAAAGGAGGAGAGGUCAAAGCCGGCCACUGUACACAAGCUGGCGCCUGAGGAUGAGCCUGCGGCCCAUCAGCUAGUUGGUAGGGUAAUGGCCUACCAAGGCGAAGACGGGUAGCUGGUCUGAGAGGAUGAUCAGCCACACUGGAACUGAGACACGGUCCAGACUCCUACGGGAGGCAGCAGUGGGGAAUCUUGCGCAAUGGGCGAAAGCCUGACGCAGCGACGCCGCGUGAGUGAUGAAGGCCUUCGGGUUGUAAAGCUCUGUGGAGAGGGACGAAUAAGGCUUGGCUAACAUCCAAGUUGAUGACGGUACCUCUUUAGCAAGCACCGGCUAACUCUGUGCCAGCAGCCG
Molecule: ribosomal RNA, 507 nt
Filed under: uncultured bacterium
Lineage: Bacteria
Description: bacterial SSU rRNA
Rfam family: Bacterial small subunit ribosomal RNA
Source: RNAcentral